GCCACCUUAGCUCAGCUGGCAGAGCAACACUUUCGUAAAGUGGAGGUCCUGAGUUCGAAUCUCAGAGGUGGCU
This 73-nucleotide transfer RNA is filed under the name Candidatus Wildermuthbacteria bacterium. Its description in RNAcentral is "tRNA-Thr". It matches the Rfam family "tRNA". From Rfam's summary of the family: Transfer RNA (tRNA) molecules are approximately 80 nucleotides in length. Their secondary structure includes four short double-helical elements and three loops (D, anti-codon, and T loops). Further hydrogen bonds mediate the characteristic L-shaped molecular structure. tRNAs have two regions of fundamental functional importance: the anti-codon, which is responsible for specific mRNA codon recognition, and the 3' end, to which the tRNAs corresponding amino acid is attached (by aminoacyl-tRNA synthetases). tRNAs cope with the degeneracy of the genetic code in two manners: having more than one tRNA (with a specific anti-codon) for a particular amino acid; and 'wobble' base-pairing, i.e. permitting non-standard base-pairing at the 3rd anti-codon position. The record is from RNAcentral. Lineage: Bacteria; Candidatus Wildermuthiibacteriota.